Molecule: ribosomal RNA, 775 nt
Filed under: Septoriella hollandica
Lineage: Eukaryota; Fungi; Ascomycota; Dothideomycetes; Pleosporales; Phaeosphaeriaceae
Description: partial large subunit ribosomal RNA
Rfam family: Eukaryotic large subunit ribosomal RNA
Source: RNAcentral
AAAUUUGAAAUCUGGCUCUUUUAGAGUCCGAGUUGUAAUUUGCAGAGGGCGCUUUGGCGUUGGCAGCGGUCCAAGUUCUUUGGAACAGGACGUCACAGAGGGUGAGAAUCCCGUACGUGGUCGCUAGCCUUCGCCGUGUAAAGCCCCUUCGACGAGUCGAGUUGUUUGGGAAUGCAGCUCUAAAUGGGAGGUAAAUUUCUUCUAAAGCUAAAUACUGGCCAGAGACCGAUAGCGCACAAGUAGAGUGAUCGAAAGAUGAAAAGCACUUUGGAAAGAGAGUCAAAUAGCACGUGAAAUUGUUGAAAGGGAAGCGCUUGCAGCCAGACUUGCCUGUAGUUGCUUAUCCGGACUUUUGUCCGGUGCACUCUUCUGCGGGCAGGCCAGCAUCAGUUUAGGCGGUUGGAUAAAGGUCUCUAUCACGUACCUCCCUUCGGGGUUGGCCUUAUAGGGGAGACGACAUGCAACCAGCCUGAACUGAGGUCCGCGCAUCUGCUAGGAUGCUGGCGUAAUGGCUGUAAGCGGCCCGUCUUGAAACACGGACCAAGGAGUCUAACAUCUAUGCGAGUGUUUGGGUGUCAAGCCCAGACGCGUAAUGAAAGUGAACGGAGGUGGGAACCUUUUAGGUGCACCAUCGACCGAUCCUGAUGUCUUCGGAUGGAUUUGAGUAAGAGCAUGGCUGUUGGGACCCGAAAGAUGGUGAACUAUGCUUGAAUAGGGUGAAGCCAGAGGAAACUCUGGUGGAGGCUCGCAGCGGUUCUGACGUGCAAAUCGAUCG